UUAGUUGGCGAGGUAACGGCCCACCAAGACGAUGAUCAGUAGCCGGACUGAGAGGUUGAACGGCCACAUUGGGACUGAGAUACGGCCCAGACUCCUACGGGAGGCAGCAGUAGGGAAUUUUCGGCAAUGGGCGAAAGCCUGACCCAGCAACGCCGCGUGAAGGAAGAAGGCUUUCGGGUUGUAAACUUCUUUUGUCAGGGAACAGUAGAAGAGGGUACCUGACGAAUAAGCCACGGCUAACUAC
This 244-nucleotide ribosomal RNA is filed under the name uncultured bacterium. RNAcentral describes it as "partial 16S ribosomal RNA". It matches the Rfam family "Bacterial small subunit ribosomal RNA", at positions 245 to 504 of the family's 1533-position model. The record is from RNAcentral.